AAGAAAGUAACUAAGAGCGUACGGCGGAUGCCUUGGCUCUCAGAGGCGAUGAAGGACGUGAUAAGCUGCGAUAAGCUACGAUUAGGUGCAAAUAACCUUUAAGUCGUAGAUUUCCGAAUGGGGCAACCCAGCUGGUUGAAGACCAGUUAUCCCGCAAGGGAAGCUAACCCGGAGAACUGAAACAUCUAAGUACCCGGAGGAAUAGAAAACAAUAGUGAUUCCCCUAGUAGCGGCGAGCGAACGGGGAUUAGCCCAAACCAUUAAUGUUUCGGCAUUAGUGGGGUUGUAGGACUGCAACGUGGACUUUAAAAUGAUAGUAGAAUCUUCUGGAAAGUUGAACGAUACAGGGUGAUAGUCCCGUAAACGAAAUCAUUUUAAUACCUAGCAGUAUCCUGAGUAGCACGGAGCACGUGAAAUUCUGUGUGAAUCUGCCAGAACCAUCUGGUAAGGCUAAAUACUCCUGAGAGACCGAUAGUGAACUAGUACCGUGAGGGAAAGGUGAAAAGUACCCUGAACAAGGGAGUGAAAUAGAUCCUGAAACCGUACGCUUACAAGCGGAGGGAGCGCAAGUGACCUCGUGCCUUUUGCAUAAUGAUCCUACGAGUUACUCCUCACUAGCAAGGUUAAGGACUUCAGGUCCGCAGCCGAAGCGAAAGCAAGUCUGAAUAGGGCGUUUAGUUAGUGGGGGUAGACGCGAAACUUGGUGAUCUACCCAUGAGCAGGUUGAAGUUGCAGUAACAUGCAAUGGAGGACCGAACCAAUAUACGUUGAAAAGUGUUUGGAUGACUUGUGGGUAGGGGUGAAAGGCCAAUCAAACUGAGAGAUAGCUCGUACUCCCCGAAAUGCAUUUAGGUGCAGCGUUGUAAUUUAUAGUCAUAGAGGUAGAGCUACUGAUUGGGCUAGGGGGCUUCACCGCCUACCAACCCCUAAUAAACUCCGAAUGCUAUGACUUUUAUACAGCAGUGAGGGCAUGGGUGCUAAGGUCCAUGUCCGAGAGGGAAAGAACCCAGACCAUCAGCUAAGGUCCCUAAAUAUAUGCUAAGUUGACCUAACGUGGUCCGAUUGCUUUGACAGCUAGGAUGUUGGCUUGGAAGCAGCCAUUCAUUUAAAGAGUGCGUAACAGCUCACUAGUCGAGCGAUUGGGCGUGGAUAAUAAUCGGGCAUAAGCAUAUUACCGAAGCUAUGGACUUGCAGUUUACUGCAAUUGGUAGGGGAGCAUUCUAGUUGCACUGAAGGUGUAUCGUAAGGUAUGCUGGAGCGGCUAGAAAAGAAAAUGUAGGAAUAAGUAACGAUAAAGCAGGCGAGAAACCUGCUCGCCGAUAGACUAAGGUUUCCUGAUCAACGCUAAUCGGAUCAGGGUUAGUCGGGACCUAACGCGAACCCGAAAGGGGUAGUGGAUGGAUAACUGGUUAAUAUUCCAGUACUAGCAUAUAUUGCGAUGGGGUGACGGAGUAGUGAAAGGACUGCGAACUGACGGAAUAGUUCGUUAAAGAGUGUAGGUAUUGGGACUGUAGGAAAAUCCGCAGACCUAGCUGAACUUGAUAGUACCAAGAGCUUUCGAGCAAUUGGAUAAUGUCCCUAAUCAGACUUCCUAGAAAAACCUCUAAGCUUCAGAUAUAUGCUACUCGUACCAUAAACCGACACAGGUGGUCAAGAUGAGUAUUCUAAGGCGCUCGAGUGAUUCAUGGUUAAGGAACUAGGCAAAAUCGCCUCGUAACUUCGGGAGAAGAGGCGCCCUCAGCAAUGAGGGCCGCAGUGAAAAGGCCCAGGCAACUGUUUAUCAAAAACACAUGGCUUUGCUAAAUCGAAAGAUGACGUAUAAGGCCUGACACCUGCCCGGUGCUGGAAGGUUAAAAGGAGGUGUUAUCUUCGGAGAAGCACUGAAUUGAAGCCCCAGUAAACGGCGGCCGUAACUAUAACGGUCCUAAGGUAGCGAAAUUCCUUGUCGGGUAAGUUCCGACCUGCACGAAUGGUGUAAUGAUCUGGGCACUGUCUCAACCAUGAGCUCGGUGAAAUUGUAGUCUCGGUGAAGAUGCCGGGUACCCGCAACGGGACGAAAAGACCCCGUGAACCUUUACUAUAGCUUCGCAUUGACUUUGGGUAAAUGAUGUGUAGGAUAGGUGGGAGACUUUGAAGCAGCAUCGCCAGGUGUUGUGGAGUCAUCCUUGAAAUACCACCCUUUAUUUGCUUGGAGUCUAACAUAUUCGUAUGAACAGUGCGUGGUGGGUAGUUUGACUGGGGUGGUCGCCUCCAAAAGAGUAACGGAGGCUUCUAAAGGUGUCCUCAGUACGCUUGGUAACCGUACGUAGAGUGCAAUAGCAUAAGGACGCUUGACUGUGAGACAGACAAGUCGAGCAGGGACGAAAGUCGAGUAUAGUGAUCCGGUGGUUCCGUAUGGAAGGGCCAUCGCUCAAAGGAUAAAAGGUACUCCGGGGAUAACAGGCUGAUGAUUCCCAAGAGCUCAUAUCGACGGAAUCGUUUGGCACCUCGAUGUCGGCUCGUCACAUCCUGGGGCUGGAGAAGGUCCCAAGGGUUGGGCUGUUCGCCCAUUAAAGUGGCACGCGAGCUGGGUUCAGAACGUCGUGAGACAGUUCGGUCUCUAUCUGUUGUGGGCGUUGGAAAUUUGAGAGGAUUUGACUCUAGUACGAGAGGACCGAGUUGAACGAACCUCUGGUUUAUCUGUUGUGGCGCCAGCUGCAUUGCAGAGUAGCUACGUUCGGAUUGGAUAAGCACUGAAAGCAUAUAAGUGCGAAGCCAGCCUCAAGAUGAGAUUUCCCUUAAGGGUCGUUAAAGAUGAUGACGUUGAUAGGUUGCAGGUGUAAAGGCAGUAAUGUCAUAGCCGAGCAAUACUAAUUACCCGUGAGCUUUCUAA
RNAcentral lists this ribosomal RNA (2872 nucleotides) under Vicingus serpentipes. RNAcentral's name for it is "23S ribosomal RNA". It matches the Rfam family "Bacterial large subunit ribosomal RNA". The record is from RNAcentral. Lineage: Bacteria; Pseudomonadati; Bacteroidota; Flavobacteriia; Flavobacteriales; Vicingaceae.